RNAcentral lists this long non-coding RNA (273 nucleotides) under Linum usitatissimum (flax). Its description in RNAcentral is "long non-coding RNA (LUSI_LNC007334)". The record is from RNAcentral. Lineage: Eukaryota; Viridiplantae; Streptophyta; Magnoliopsida; Malpighiales; Linaceae.
GCCUGUAGCCGUUAUGCUGAUUUGGUUCGCUAGAGAAUGAGAAUCUCUAUUGUUUCAUCUCCUCUGGUCUCUCUCGAUCUGCAGUAUUAUUCAGGUAAUCCCUUCGGUUAAUUUGCAUAAAGGUAUCUGAUUCCAUACUUGUAAAGAUUUUGCAGAAACUGCCCACAUCACAUCACACGUAAUGCAACAAUCAAAAGGAAGACUCGUCUUUGCUCUGGGUUUUCUUGAUUAAGCUCUACGCAUAUUUUACUUUAAAAAACUUGUCGAUUCGUG